This is an RNA transcript of Triticum dicoccoides, 2709 nucleotides long. It is a transcript of the gene named pentatricopeptide repeat-containing protein At3g29230-like, with no coding region annotated. The transcript has 2 exons. The record is from RefSeq and is a predicted model, not a curated record. Lineage: Eukaryota; Viridiplantae; Streptophyta; Magnoliopsida; Poales; Poaceae.
CGCUGACCCACAUGUCAUCGAGCAAGACCACAUCCGCAGGGCCUUCUCCUGGCCUGAGCAGCUCCCCUUCCCUCUCCGGCAACAAUUACCGCAAACCACCGCCUCCUCUCCGGCGGCAACCACAGCGGCGCCAUAGCUAGUCCGAACGCCAAUGUCCACCGCUGCCUCUGCGCUCCGCCCGGCGCCGCGGUGGGGUGCGCCGUCGCAGCGCCGGCUCGUGGAGCAGCACCUGGCGUCACUGCCCCACGGCCUCCAGCGCCUCCACCACGUGCAGGAGCUCCACGCGCAGCUCCUCAAGCACGGUAUCCACCUCGACCCGCUCACCGCCUCCAAGCUUAUCUCCUCAUACGCGCUCCAGCGCCGCCUCCCGGCCUCCCGCCGCAUCUUCGCCUCCUUCCCCAAUCCUCACGCCACCACCUUCCUCCCGAACACCCUUCUCCGCGCCUACGCGCUCAAUGCCCUGCCCCACGCUGCGAUCUCUGUCUUCUCCGCCAUGCCCCAGCGGGACAGCUUCACCUACUCCUUCCUCAUCAAGGCGCUCUCCUCAGCGGGCUUGACUCCCCUCAGGGCGGUGCACUCCCACGUCGUUAAACUCGGGUCCAUCGAGGACACCUAUGUCGGGAACGCGCUGAUCGACGCCUACUCCAAGAACGGCGGGUUUUUGGACGCCAGCAAGGUGUUCGAGGAAAUGCCUAGCCGGGAUACCGUGUCCUGGAACUCGGCCAUGGCUGCGAUGGUGCGACAGGGCGAUGUGGUAAGUGCGAGGAGGAUGUUUGACGAGAUGCCGGAGAAGGACACGGUAAGCUGGAACACCGUGCUAGAUGGGUACACCAAGGCUGGGAAGAUGGAGGAAGCGUUCGAGCUGUUUCAGUGCAUGCCAGAGAGGAAUGUGGUGUCGUGGUCGACGGUGGUGUCUGGUUACUGUAAGAAGGGUGACAUGGAGAUGGCUCGAGUGAUCUUUGAUAAGAUGCCAACGAAGAACUUGGUAACGUGGACGAUAAUGGUCUCGGCAUGUGCCCAGAAUGGGCUUGUUGAGGAGGCUGGACGGUUGUUUACUCAGAUGAAGGAAGCUGGUGUGGAACUUGAUGUGGCUGCGGUUGUGAGUAUCUUGGCUGCAUGUGCAGAGUCAGGCUCGCUUGCUCUUGGGAAGAGGAUUCACCGGUACGUGCGGACAAGGCAACUGGGGAGGUCGACCCAUGUGUGCAAUGCAAUGAUUGACAUGUUUUGCAAGUGUGGAUGUGUAAACCGGGCUGAUUAUGUCUUUGACACUGAAAUAGCUGAGAAGGAUUCAGUGUCAUGGAACACCAUAAUUGGGGGAUUUGCGAUGCAUGGGCAUGGAGACAAGGCGCUGGACUUCUUUGCCCAAAUGAAGCUACAAGGGUUCCGUCCUGAUGCUGUGACAAUGAUCAACGUUCUUAGUGCAUGCACACACAUGGGGUUUGUGGAAGAGGGACGCCGGUAUUUCAACAAUAUGGAGAGGGACUAUGGCAUUGUGCCACAGAUAGAGCAUUAUGGCUGCAUGAUUGACCUUCUUGGUCGUGGAGGGCUCAUCGAGGAGGCUGUUGACCUGAUAAAAAGCAUGCCUUGGGAUCCUAAUGAGGUAAUAUGGGGGUCCCUUCUCAGUGCAUGCCGACUGCACAAGAACGUGGAGUAUGCAGAAAUUGCAGUGAACGAGCUCAGUAAGCUGCAGCCCUCCAAUGCAGGGAACUAUGCUGUCCUUUCAAACAUCUAUGCAGAGGCUGGGCAGUGGAGUGACAUGGCAAAGGCAAGGAUGCAAAUGAAAGGAACCGGGUCUCAGAAGUCAGCAGGAUCAAGUUGGAUUGAACUUGAUGAGGCAUUCCAUGAGUUCACGGUGGGGGACAGAAAACACUCAGACUCGGACCAGAUAUCCGAGAUGGUUGAUAGGCUGAGUUCACAUGUUAAGGAUGUUGGCUGCCUUCCAACAGCUCAUGAGCUGCUUGUGCAGUGAGUCCUUUGCCAAGGGUGUGCUAAAUCUCAUGUUGCAGUCACAAAUGUGAAAUGCUUCCGUGAGGUGCUAGCAUUGCACGGUGCAAUCUAUGUAAGCAAGCACCGGCUCCAGUGAAUCCUGCAAUCAAGAAGAUGCUGUGACGUGGUACAGAAUUACCCACGAUGGACUGUAAACCCAGACAUGUGUUCAAGCAUUUCUCAGCAUGUGCUCUUCUGCCAUCAGCAAGGCAAUCGAAAAUCAAAUGUAUCUUCUUUUAGAGAGACCAUGCUGAUGCUGGGUGACACACCCUGAAGCACAUCCUACCAAGCCACAAACAUAUAGCAAGUCAUAUCACCCUGCAAUGGUCAAAUUAUCUAGCAAAUGCACCAAAGUACACCAGCUCAACGAGAUCACAGUACACAACACAAAUCAUAAUGCACAAUAAGGCCCUGUUUGGAACGAAGGAAAAACAUAGGAAUUUUGGAGGGUAUGAUUCCUGUAGGAAAUAUUUCUUUGGUACCGUUUGGAACAAAGGAAAAGCUAUCCCUACAAUUCUUUGAAAUUCCUAUGGAUUGAGCUAUUUCAUAGAAAUUUUUGGAGGACCUCAUGUUUUCUUCUCCUUGUGUCUAGAUUCCUGUGAAUUUCCUGCAUGACAUCCAAAUGAGAGUUUUGGAGUUUUCCUGUAAUCCAGGAUACAUGGCAUCCAGGAUUCUCCAGUUUAGGUAUAGUUUUCAGAUGCAAUUGGCUCUGGCUGCACUUUC